AAGUCGUAACAAGGUUUCCGUAGGUGAACCUGCGGAAGGAUCAUUAACACUUUUUGAAAUUUUAUUUUCUUUUCCGAAAAUGAAAUUUUACUUUACCCACAUUUUUGGAUGAAUUAUUUCUUUAUUAACCCUUUUAUAAUUUUUAUACCCCAAAACAAAACUAAUACUUCUUAUUUCUAACAUUUAUUUAACAAAAAACAUAAAAAACAACUCUUAACAACGGAUAUCUAGGCUCUC
Molecule: unclassified non-coding RNA, 237 nt
Filed under: fungal sp.
Lineage: Eukaryota; Fungi
Description: partial internal transcribed spacer region
Rfam family: Eukaryotic small subunit ribosomal RNA (bases 1-46)
Source: RNAcentral